GACGAAGGGGGCUAGCGUUGUUCGGAAUUACUGGGCGUAAAGCGCGUGUAGGCGGUUAUCCAAGUCGGGUGUGAAAGCCUUGAGCUCAACUCAAGAAAUGCAUUCGGUACUGGGUGACUAGAGGACCGGAGAGGAUAGUGGAAUUCCCAGUGUAGUGGUGAAAUACGUAGAGAUUGGGAAGAACACCAGUGGCGAAGGCGGCUAUCUGGACGGUUUCUGACGCUAAGACGCGAAAGCGUGGGGAGCAAACAGG
Molecule: ribosomal RNA, 253 nt
Filed under: uncultured bacterium
Lineage: Bacteria
Description: partial 16S ribosomal RNA
Rfam family: Bacterial small subunit ribosomal RNA
Source: RNAcentral